UAAAAAGCUGGCAGCCUGACAGACUGAGUGACAAUCCCCACCACAUCGCCCUCCUUUCGUCCAGAGCUCUGCACAUUCUGCACCUGCCCUGCUCACUGCAGGGUCACAAGAAGUCAAACGGAGUCCUCUGUCAAACACUUUGACAUGACAGUUGCUACUUGAUGAAAGAAGACUGCAAUCGGAAUGAAAAAGAAGAUAAAAAGACACCAGCUAAUUAAGUGAAAUCAGUUAGACGGAAAAUGGCUCACUGGCCAAAAACCUGCAGCCCAACGGGGUCCACAGCAUUGAACUUGAGAACCACCGGGGGUUCCUCCAUGUUCUUCCCAGGUAAUGAAGACUUGCUGGUCAGACAGACUGGUAAUUCUGAAUCAGCAUGUGUGUGUUAAAUGGACUGGCAUUAUGUCCUGGGUCAGUUGCUGCCUUGCCUUGAGUGAC
This is a long non-coding RNA of Polypterus senegalus (gray bichir), 435 nucleotides long. RefSeq lists it as uncharacterized. The record is from RefSeq and is a predicted model, not a curated record. NCBI's taxonomy places the organism in Eukaryota, Metazoa, Chordata, Cladistia, Polypteriformes, Polypteridae. The transcript is spliced from 3 exons.